UACGUAGGUCCCGAGCGUUGUCCGGAUUUAUUGGGCGUAAAGCGAGCGCAGGCGGCGCGCCAAGUCUGAUGUGAAACCCCGGGGCUCAACCCCGGGCAUGCAUUGGAAACUGGCGGGCUGGAGUGCCGGAGAGGUAAGCGGAAUUCCUAGUGUAGCGGUGAAAUGCGUAGAUAUUAGGAGGAACACCAGUGGCGAAGGCGGCUUACUGGACGGCAACUGACGCUGAGGCUCGAAAGCGUGGGGAGCAAACAGG
RNAcentral lists this ribosomal RNA (253 nucleotides) under uncultured bacterium. RNAcentral describes it as "partial 16S ribosomal RNA". It matches the Rfam family "Bacterial small subunit ribosomal RNA", at positions 524 to 776 of the family's 1533-position model. The record is from RNAcentral.